GUUUGCUAUCCUUGUCUGCUGUGGAUAUCUCGAUGAAAGCUAUCAACCCCCAAAAACCAUUUUACUCAGAUACACAACAAACCUCUAAUAACUUUUCAAUCCAAGAUCAACGCAGGAAGCGCUUACAAAGGAUUUGCAAGUUUUGGGUAAAGGAUAGAUGUGCUUAUGGGGAUAACUGUAGGUUUCUUCAUUCUUGGUUCCAAUCUGGUAAUGGGUUUUCGAUGCUGCCAAGGCUUGAAGGGCACAAGAGAUCUGUGGUCGGUGUUGCCUUUCCUUCAGGGCCUGACAAGCUUAUACUGGCAGUAGAGGUGGAACUGUCAGGAUUUGGGAUUACUACUCUGGAAAGUGUGACCAUGUCAUCAAUCUUGGUUUUGAAAUUGGGUCUUUAAACUGUAAAGGCUCGUGGGUAUUCAUUGGAUUGCCAAAUUUAGUUCGGGUCUGGAAUUUAAGCUCAGAGGGUAACAAAGAGUUCUCUUUGGAUGGUCCAAUUGGUCAAGUCUAUGCCUUGGCAGUGUACAAGGAUUUGCUUUUUGCCGGGACCGCUAAUGGUGAUAUUUUGGUGUGGAGAGGGAGCUUUGAAGCUAACCCAUUUGCAAGGGUGGCAACUUUGAGAGGCACAAAAAGGCAGCUGUCUGUUUAAAUGUUGGUUCUGGUGUUAAUUCUUUGUAUUCAGGCUCUAUGGACAAUACAGUGAAGGUUUGGGAUUUGGAGACCGCAGUGCAAGCAAACUCUAAAUGGUCACAGGGAUGUGGUGAUGUCACUUCUGAGUUGGGAUCAGUGCUUACUGACAUGCUCGUUAGACCAUACAGUGAAGUUCUGGGUUGCCAGGAAAGGAGGCAAAUUGGAACUAGCGGAAACACAUGAAGAGAAGUCUGGGAUUCUGAAAGUUUUUGGUAUGCAGGAUGCAAAAGGGAAGCCUAUUGUGUUUUGUUCCUGCAAUGAUAACUGUGUUCGUCUGUUUGAAUUGAAUUCAUUCACUGAGAUGGAUAGGAUUUUUGCAGAACAGGAGGUUAGAGAAAUUCAGAGGGGUCCUAAUGGCCUAUUUUUCACAGGUGAUGCAGCUGGAGUGGUUACCGUUUGGAUGUGGCACGCAUAAACAAGUAAAUAGCUAGAUGAACAAAAACAAAAAGAUUAUGUAUAAAACAAUUGCCUUUGAGGGUGAAACUGAAAUGUAAAUGCGAUAUAUAUUCUAAUCAAUUUAUUUUGAGUGAUCAUGAUCUUUUGUAAUUAUGCGUCGAAUUCAAUAUUUGAGUCAUUCAUACAUUGGAAUUUCAAGGGCUACUGAUGCUUGUGGC
Molecule: unclassified non-coding RNA, 1295 nt
Filed under: Hevea brasiliensis (rubber tree)
Lineage: Eukaryota; Viridiplantae; Streptophyta; Magnoliopsida; Malpighiales; Euphorbiaceae
Source: RNAcentral